This 382-nucleotide ribosomal RNA is filed under the name uncultured eukaryote. RNAcentral describes it as "SSU rRNA". It matches the Rfam family "Eukaryotic small subunit ribosomal RNA", at positions 587 to 972 of the family's 1831-position model. The record is from RNAcentral.
AGCUCCAAUAGCGUAUAUUAAAGUUGUUGCAGUUAAAAAGCUCGUAGUUGGAUUUCUGGUGGGAGCGUUGGGCCAGCCCUAAGGGUUUGUGCUCAAAUGUUUUCCGCCAUCCUCAGGUGGAACUUCUCUGGCAUUCAGUUGUCGGGGUUGCAAAACCUGUCGUUUACUGUGAAAAAAUUAGAGUGUUCAAAGCAGGCUUAUGCCGUUGAAUACAUUAGCAUGGAAUAAUAAGAUAGGACCUUGGUACUAUUUUGUUGGUUUGCGUACCUUGGUAAUGAUCAAUAGGGACAGUUGGGGCUAUUCGUAUUCCAUUGUCAGAGGUGAAAUUCUUGGAUUUAUGGAAGACGAACUACUGCGAAAGCAUUUAGCAAGGAUGUUUUCA